UACGUAGGGGGCAAGCGUUGUCCGGAAUCAUUGGGCGUAAAGAGCGUGUAGGCGGCCAGAUAAGUCCGCUGUGAAAUCUCGAGGCUCAACUUCGAGCUGUCGGUGGAAACUGUCUGGCUAGAGUCCGGAAGAGGAGAAUGGAAUUCCUGGUGUAGCGGUGAAAUGCGCAGAUAUCGGGAAGAACACCCGUGGCGAAGGCGGUUCUCUGGGACGGUACUGACGCUGAGACGCGAAAGCGUGGGGAGCAAACAGG
Molecule: ribosomal RNA, 253 nt
Filed under: uncultured bacterium
Lineage: Bacteria
Description: partial 16S ribosomal RNA
Rfam family: Bacterial small subunit ribosomal RNA
Source: RNAcentral